UACAGAAGACAGACACUUCUGCAGUGUGAGAGAAAGCUCUUUCAAGAGAACAUUUAUGAGUUUAAGAACAGACCCCGCUCCAAUGGGAGACAGAAACUGAGCUCCUUUUGCAAAGGCACAGAACUUCAGCGUUCCUGAUGGCUGCUCCUGUAUUUGGAGAAAAACAUCAGCACAAUGUCAUUACCCUAACGAUGUAUUAAUGAAAACACAGUGUCAGCCUGCAGAACCAACAGGGGACCAGG
Non-coding RNA from Cyanistes caeruleus (blue tit), 242 nucleotides. NCBI's taxonomy places the organism in Eukaryota, Metazoa, Chordata, Aves, Passeriformes, Paridae. The record is from RefSeq and is a predicted model, not a curated record.